Molecule: ribosomal RNA, 465 nt
Filed under: Vreelandella stevensii
Lineage: Bacteria; Pseudomonadati; Pseudomonadota; Gammaproteobacteria; Oceanospirillales; Halomonadaceae
Description: partial 16S ribosomal RNA
Rfam family: Bacterial small subunit ribosomal RNA
Source: RNAcentral
CCUACGGGUGGCAGCAGUGGGGAAUAUUGGACAAUGGGGGCAACCCUGAUCCAGCCAUGCCGCGUGUGUGAAGAAGGCCCUCGGGUUGUAAAGCACUUUCAGUGAGGAAGAACGCCUGGUGGUUAAUACCCAUCAGGAAAGACAUCACUCACAGAAGAAGCACCGGCUAACUCCGUGCCAGCAGCCGCGGUAAUACGGAGGGUGCGAGCGUUAAUCGGAAUUACUGGGCGUAAAGCGCGCGUAGGUGGCUUGAUAAGCCGGUUGUGAAAGCCCCGGGCUCAACCUGGGAACGGCAUCCGGAACUGUCAAGCUAGAGUGCAGGAGAGGAAGGUAGAAUUCCCGGUGUAGCGGUGAAAUGCGUAGAGAUCGGGAGGAAUACCAGUGGCGAAGGCGGCCAUCUGGACUGACACUGACACUGAGGUGCGAAAGCGUGGGUAGCAAACAGGAUUAGAUACCCCAGUAGUC